Molecule: ribosomal RNA, 490 nt
Filed under: uncultured bacterium
Lineage: Bacteria
Description: partial 16S ribosomal RNA
Rfam family: Bacterial small subunit ribosomal RNA
Source: RNAcentral
AUUGAACGCUGGCGGCAGGCCUAACACAUGCAAGUCGAACGGUAACAGGAAGAAGCUUGCUUCUUUGCUGACGAGUGGCGGACGGGUGAGUAAUGUCUGUGAAACUGCCUGAUGGAGGGGGAUAACUACUGGAAACGGUAGCUAAUACCGCAUAACGUCGCAAGACCAAAGAGGGGGACCUUCGGGCCUCUUGCCAUCGGAUGUGCCCAGAUGGGAUUAGCUAGUAGGUGGGGUAACGGCUCACCUAGGCGACGAUCCCUAGCUGGUCUGAGAGGAUGACCAGCCACACUGGAACUGAGACACGGUCCAGACUCCUAAGGGAGGCAGCAGUGGGGAAUAUUGCACAAUGGGCGCAAGCCUGAUGCAGCCAUGCCGCGUGUAUGAAGAAGGCCUUCGGGUUGUAAAGUACUUUCAGCGGGGAGGAAGGGAGUAAAGUUAAUACCUUUGCUCAUUGACGUUACCCGCAGAAGAAGCACCGGCUAACUCCGUG